RNAcentral lists this transfer RNA (76 nucleotides) under Candidatus Ornithoclostridium faecigallinarum. RNAcentral's name for it is "tRNA-Lys". It matches the Rfam family "tRNA". From Rfam's summary of the family: Transfer RNA (tRNA) molecules are approximately 80 nucleotides in length. Their secondary structure includes four short double-helical elements and three loops (D, anti-codon, and T loops). The record is from RNAcentral. Lineage: Bacteria; Bacillati; Bacillota; Clostridia; Christensenellales; Christensenellaceae.
GCACCUUUAGCUCAGUUGGUAGAGCAACUGACUCUUAAUCAGUGGGUCCAGAGUUCGAGUCUCUGAAGGUGCACCA